Molecule: ribosomal RNA, 460 nt
Filed under: uncultured bacterium
Lineage: Bacteria
Description: partial 16S ribosomal RNA
Rfam family: Bacterial small subunit ribosomal RNA
Source: RNAcentral
CCUACGGGAGGCAGCAGUGAGGAAUAUUGGUCAAUGGACGAGAGUCUGAACCAGCCAAGUAGCGUGAAGGAUGACUGCCCUAUGGGUUGUAAACUUCUUUUAUAUGGGAAUAAAACGUUCCACGUGUGGGAUUUUGUAUGUACCAUAUUAAUAAGGAUCGGCUAACUCCGUGACAGCAGCCGCGGUAAUACGGAGGAUCCGAGCGUUAUCCGGAUUUAUUGGGUUUAAAGGGAGCGUCGGUGGAUUGUUAAGUCAGUUGUGAAAGUUUGCGGCACCACCGUAAAAUUGCAGGUGAAACUGGCAGUCUUUCGUGCACACCGGGCUGCCGGAAUUCAUGGUGUAGCGGUGAAAUGCUUAGAUAUCAUGAAGAGCUCCGCUCGCGACGGCAAGUGUCCGGGGUGCAACUGACGCUGAGGCUCGACAGUGCGGGUAUCAAACAGGAUGAGAUACCCUUGUAGUC